Molecule: long non-coding RNA, 461 nt
Filed under: Sorghum bicolor (sorghum)
Lineage: Eukaryota; Viridiplantae; Streptophyta; Magnoliopsida; Poales; Poaceae
Description: long non-coding RNA (SBIC_LNC004274)
Source: RNAcentral
CAGCUGUAAAGGCGACUAGGGUUCCUUGAUGCUUGCGGACGCAAAGGAGGGCUGCAGGGAGGAGCCACGGGCUUUAUAGGAACUGGAUUGUCGUGAUGAGAAGGAAAUCCCAGGAAAUCGUAUUGAGAAAAAGCCACCAACGAGCGGGCCCGGGCGGCAGUGAGAGGGGUGACAGGGCCCGCGUGCCAGUGAGGGGGAAAGGGAAGAGGGAGGGCGCGUGUGCGUGCCCACGGGGAGAAGGAACUGGGCCGCUGCAUGCUAGGCCAAGGCGCGCAACUUGGGCCGGUUGCGGGAGAGAGGAAGAGUGGGCCACGAGUGGGGAAAACGGGGUGGCCUUCGGGCCAGAACAGAGGGAGGGAGUGUUUUCGUUUUUCUUUUAUUUUGUUUCUUUUUAUUUCAAAGUCUUUUCAGAACAGUUUAAAAUAAAUCAGAAAACAUUUUGACUUUGAUCAAAACCACAC